AUGGCCAAGUCCAAGAACCACACCACACACAACCAGUCCCAAAAAUGGCACAGAAAUGGUAUCAAGAAACCCGAAGCACAAAGAUACGAAUCUCUUAAGGGGGUGGACCCCAAGUUCCUGAGGAACAUGCAGUUUGCCAAGAAACACAACAAGAAGGGCCUAAAGAAGAUGCAGGCUAACAGUGCCAAGGCCAUGAGUGCACAUGCCAAGGCUAUCAAGGCCCUCCUAAAGCCCAAGGAGGUUAAGCCCAAGAUCCCAAAGGGUGUCAGCCGCAAGCUCAACUUGCCUACACUGUCCACCCCAAGCUUGGGAAGCAUGCUCGUGCCCGCAUUGCCAAGGGGCUCAGGGUGUGCUGGCCAAAGGCCAAGGACAAGGAUCAAACCAAGGCCCAGGCUGCAGCUCCAGCUUCAGUUCCAGCUCAGGCUCCCAAAGGUGCCCAGGCCCCUACAGAGGCUUCAGAGUAGAUAUCUCUAUCUGCCAACGUGA
This 486-nucleotide long non-coding RNA is filed under the name Homo sapiens (human). Its description in RNAcentral is "non-protein coding lnc-PAPD4-3:1". The record is from RNAcentral. Lineage: Eukaryota; Metazoa; Chordata; Mammalia; Primates; Hominidae.